UAGCUCAGUGGGAGGUUCACAAGGUUGGAUCCUCCUGGUCCUGAGUUUAGCGAUUUUCUACUUGGUUGCUUCAAGGGUGGAGUCAGCCUAUUUCUGCUCUUCAACACCUGGUUGCUCUAAGGGUGGAGUCAGCCUAUUUCUGCUCUCCAAUAUAAAGGCCGGGGGUAAUGGCAAAACUUUGAGGUCUUUUUUUUUUAUAAAAAAAAGGACAAUCAGCGUUACCUUUCUAAAGCAAAACCCGAGAAUAUUGAAACUGACGUUUUUUCCAUAGAAGCGUGAAGAUAUGCCACUACGGUAUUAUGUUUAAUGGUUGGUGUUUUUUCCAAAUACGGUACAAAACGCAUAUACAUGUAAUUCACCCUCGAAUACCUCGCCGUCGAUCGUUAUGUUACCUACCACUCGUUAAAUUCUUAAAUAAAUCUAGCUCAGUCAAUGACUCAAAUCGGGAUGAAUAGGUUCCAGAAAGAAAUCUUAUCACUAAUGCUCGCUGUUUGGCACGCAUAUACAUGUAAUUCACCCCUAUGAACACCUCGAAUACCUCGCUGUCGAUCGUUAUGUUACCUACCACUCGUUAAAUUCUUAAAUAAAUCUAGCUCAGUCAAUGACUCAAAUCGGGAUGAAUAGGUUCCAGAAAGAAAUCUUAUCACUAAUGCUCGCUG
RNAcentral lists this long non-coding RNA (659 nucleotides) under Setaria viridis. Its description in RNAcentral is "long non-coding RNA (SVIR_LNC011171)". Lineage: Eukaryota; Viridiplantae; Streptophyta; Magnoliopsida; Poales; Poaceae. The record is from RNAcentral.